GAAAAAAGAAAACCAUUGCUCUUGAUAUUGCUAAUGCCGGGGGAGGUAAGCUAACGAGAAAGUAGGGAAAAGGAAGGUUUUAGAGUUCACCUCCACUCCUUCCCCUGGCUAACACUCUUUACACUCUUCUGCCUUCCCUUGAGAUAAUUAAAAUAGACUGUACACCGGCCCUAGUCGGUGCCCAUUCCCCCUAACUCUUCACUCAACUACGUGUGUAGUCCGAGGGAGUGAGGACCCCGGGUCCAAGAGCUCAAUCCCGGCCCCGCCCCGUCGGCCCAGGCCCCGGGGCUGGGAGGAGAGGAUGCCUUCGGAGGCGCAGAAUCCGAAAAUUUUGCUGAAGUUGCUUAUCAGAUUAAGAAGCUUUUGGGCUGAGAUGAUGCGGUUUUCUAGAUAUAGGAUCACUUCAUCUGCAAACAAAGAUGAUUUGACUUCCUCUCUUUAUAUUCGAAUACCUUUAUUUCUUUCUCUUCCUGAUUGCCCUGGCCAAAACUUCCAAUACUAUGUUGAACAGCAUUGGUGAGAGAGUGCAUUCUUGACUUGUGCCAGUUUUCAAGAGAUGUGGUUGGAGCUGGAAGCUGUUAUCCUCAGCAAACUAAUGCAGGAGGAGAAAACCAAAUACUGCAAGUUCUCACUUAUAAGUGGGAACUGAAUGAUGAGAACAUUUGGACAUGAAGACCAAAUCUCCAGGAUUGUGAAUCAAUCAGAGAAUGUUUAGAAGCUGGGCAGAGAAAUCGAGCUGCAAAAUGACCUACAGAUAUUACAGUUUUAUUCUUGGAAAAUGGAGGUUGUCUAUUAGUGUGAUGGUAACAACCAACUAAUAAAAUUUGGAGACUAGACUGCUUGUCAUGUCUGGGGUUCACUGGAAAUCAAUGAUUCACUGGAACAAUUCUCCUGUCAAAAAAAAUGUGAGGUUUGUAACUUGCCCUAAGUAUAACAAGGGAUAUAUUUUAACAAAGGAUGUAUUUUUUCUUAAGAAGCAACCAUUUCUCAGCUUAUACAUAAUAGCAAUAAUAAAGUCUUUGACCCUAUUAAUGAUUUUCUUAUUUAAUCUUGAUUUUUACAGUUCAUCACUGCAUUUCAUUAUGGGAAGAUUUAAAUAUUAAAUAGAAACUAGCUAGCUUAAUAAAAUCUGAACACAGUUAAUGUCUGUCAUAAUGCUCAUUUUAAUACAUUUCUAUCCUUCAUUCUGUUGAUAUUAUGUAUCAUAUUGAUUGAUUUGCACACAAUUCACCAUCAUUGCAUCCCAGGGAUUGCACUUGGUCAUGAUGAAGGAUCUUUCUAAUGUAUUGUUGAAUUUGGUUUGCUCAUAGUUUGUUGAGGAUUUUUGCAUCAAUAUUCAUUAGAGAUAUUGGCCUGUAAUUUUUUUAUAUGUCUUUGUCUGCUUUUGGAAUCAGGGCAAUACUAGCCUUGUGGAAUGAAUUUUAAAGUAUUCCCUUUUCACCUAUUUUUUCUGAAUAAUUUGAGUAGGAUUGGUGUUAGAUCUUCUUUAAAUGUUUGGUGGAAUUCACCAGUGAAGCCACUGGGUCCCAGGAUUUUCUUUACUGGGAGACUUUUUAAUACAGCUUCCAUCUCAUGACUUAUUAUUCAUCUGUUUGUGUUUUGGAUUUUGUAUUAGUCUGUUUUCAGGCUGCUAAUAAAGACAUACCCAAGACUGGAUAACU
Molecule: long non-coding RNA, 1661 nt
Organism: Homo sapiens (human)
Lineage: Eukaryota; Metazoa; Chordata; Mammalia; Primates; Hominidae
Source: Ensembl